CCUACGGGAGGCAGCAGUAAGGAAUAUUGGUCAAUGGACGAAAGUCUGAACGAGCCAUGCCGCGUGAAGGAUUAAGGCCCUCUGGGUUGUAAACUUCUUUUAUCUGGGACGAAAAAAGGGUAUUCUUACUCACUUGACGGUACCAGAGGAAUAAGCACCGGCUAACUCCGUGCCAGCAGCCGCGGUAAUACGGAGGGUGCAAGCGUUAUCCGGAUUUACUGGGUUUAAAGGGUGCGUAGGUGGGCUUGUAAGUCAGUGGUGAAAUCUCCGGGCUUAACCCGGAAACUGCCAUUGAUACUAUAGGUCUUGAAUUAUCUGGAGGUAAGCGGAAUAUGUCAUGUAGCGGUGAAAUGCUUAGAUAUGACAUAGAACACCAAUUGCGAAGGCAGCUUACUACGGAUAUAUUGACACUGAGGCACGAAAGCGUGGGGAUCAAACAGGAUUAGAUACCCUGGUAGUCCACGCCCUAAACGAUGGAUACUCGACAUCAGCGAUACACUGUUGGUGUCUGAGNGAAGANAUAUAUCCACCAGAGAGANGCAGAUAGAAGACGAAGAAAGUAGAGACGUGAGAGAGACGACGACGACGACGAGGAGGAGG
RNAcentral lists this ribosomal RNA (600 nucleotides) under uncultured bacterium. RNAcentral's name for it is "bacterial SSU rRNA". The stretch from base 1 to 531 matches the Rfam family "Bacterial small subunit ribosomal RNA", at positions 338 to 873 of the family's 1533-position model. The record is from RNAcentral.